UCAUUCGGUCGGUGCAGAAGGAAAUGGAUGGAAAUUCGUGGAACAACACCACCAGAGACUGAUACCCAUCAUCGUAUUUUUGCAAGAUGUUUUGAAGUUUGCAGUGCUGAGGAUUCCCAACUGGUUGUGGUCGACCCUGCAGAACUGAACCACUACGUCCCCCUGUCAGCCUACAUGGUUCAAGGCAGACUCCUGAUUUCUCCUAACGCAUUCCUGCUACACUGAGAUUCAUCAUGUUGCUCCGUGUCAUCCUAACCGAAGAGGACAUUCGGAGGGUCAUCAUUGAGAACAUGCCCGACACGGUUGAUGACCUGCACUUGAUCCUCAAAAACAAGCUUGGAUUGGAAGGAGUUUUGAGGGUACAAU
Molecule: long non-coding RNA, 366 nt
Organism: Sardina pilchardus (European sardine)
Lineage: Eukaryota; Metazoa; Chordata; Actinopteri; Clupeiformes; Clupeidae
Exons: 3
Source: RefSeq, a predicted model, not a curated record